RNAcentral lists this ribosomal RNA (532 nucleotides) under uncultured bacterium. Its description in RNAcentral is "bacterial SSU rRNA". It matches the Rfam family "Bacterial small subunit ribosomal RNA", at positions 777 to 1315 of the family's 1533-position model. The record is from RNAcentral.
AAUAGAUACCCUGGUAGUCCACGCCCUAAACGAUGUCUACUAGUUGUCGGGUCUUCAUUGACUUGGUAACGCAGCUAACGCGUGAAGUAGACCGCCUGGGGAGUACGGUCGCAAGAUUAAAACUCAAAGGAAUUGACGGGGACCCGCACAAGCGGUGGAUGAUGUGGAUUAAUUCGAUGCAACGCGAAAAACCUUACCUACCCUUGACAUGGUCGGAACCCUGAAGAGAUUCGGGGGUGCUCGAAAGAGAACCGAUACACAGGUGCUGCAUGGCUGUCGUCAGCUCGUGUCGUGAGAUGUUGGGUUAAGUCCCGCAACGAGCGCAACCCUUGUCAUUAGUUGCUACGAAAGGGCACUCUAAUGAGACUGCCGGUGACAAACCGGAGGAAGGUGGGGAUGACGUCAAGUCCUCAUGGCCCUUAUGGGUAGGGCUUCACACGUCAUACAAUGGUGCAUACAGAGGGUUGCCAACCCGCGAGGGGAGCCAAUCCCAGAAAGUGCAUCGUAGUCCGGAUUGCAGUCUGCAACUCGG